Long non-coding RNA from Ostrinia nubilalis (European corn borer), 1437 nucleotides. RefSeq lists it as uncharacterized. Lineage: Eukaryota; Metazoa; Arthropoda; Insecta; Lepidoptera; Crambidae. The transcript has 4 exons. The record is from RefSeq and is a predicted model, not a curated record.
CGGUCUUAUUCAUAAUCAUUUUUCACAUUUUAUCAAAUGCUUAUUAGAGGUUUAUAAAACGUUUGAUAAAAAUUGUUAUUCAUAAUCGUCAUUUAGCGCUAAAAUCCUCUUUUAUCUGUGUGAUAAGUUAUCGAGAGCUCGGGCCUUGUUUAAAGCUCUAAUAAACCUAUUUUAACCUAACUUUUAUAAAUGUCAUUUCAUAUGAAUGUCACUUCGUUGGUUUAUUUAUUCAAAAUAUCCUUGCUGUGAUCCUUGCUUGUGAAAAUGAAUGCUAUAAAUGCAAUUGUGCAUUUAGCCAAUAAUGCCGACCCAGCGCGACGUAGAAAGCUCUACCGCCAACGAAGCAACCCAUUCGAUUUGCGGGACCUAAAUUUUAAAAUAAAAUAUAGGUUCAAUAAGGACACAGUGCGCACCAUCAUAGAUUUGGUGGAAGAUGAUCUGGUUCAGAGCGCUAGAGGUGGUGGCACGUGUCCUGAACUGCAAGUUUUAGUGGCCAUAAGAUGUUGGGGACGUCGUGAGGUAAGCACAAAAAAGUGUUUUAUUUUAUCCCUUUGUCGUGGCUGCUAUAAUUAUUUUCAUACAUUUUCAGGUGCAAGAUGAUGCUGGUGACCUCCAUGGCCUAAGUCAGCCGACAGUGAGCCGGAUAUGCGCCAGAGUCGCGCAUGCAAUCGCGAAUAAGGCAAAUUCCUUCAUCAAAAUGCCUAUCACUAUAGGAGAGCAGGAAAGAAUUAGUGCCAAAUUUAGAGCAAUUAAAAAUUUUCCUGGGGUGAUAGGAGCCAUAGAUUGCACCCACAUUAAAAUUAAAAAAACCGGAGGUGACAUGGCCCAGUACUAUAUUAAUAGAAAAGGCUAUUAUUCCCUGAAUGUUCAGGUUGUCUGUGAUGCUGACCUCAAAAUAAUGGAUAUAGUGGCUAGAUGGCGAGGCAGUACACAUGACAGUCGAAUUUUUAUGGAGAGCAAUAUAAAACAACGAUUUGAGGAUAGGCAGUUUAGAGGACGCCUUAUUGGCGAUUCGGGCGAUUCUGCCAUAUCUAUUUACACCUAUUUUAAGGCCUAGUCGUCCAGAAGAAGAAGCAUACAAUAAUGCUCACAUCUCAACUAGGAACACUGUUGAAAGGUGUUUUGGGGUGUGGAAGCAGCGGUUCCAAUGCCUACUCCAUGGCUUACCAGUAAGCCUCCAAAAUGGAAAAGCUGUGAUCAUAGCAUUGGCUGUAUUACAUAAUAUAGCCAUUGAUAUGAAUGACACAUUGUUAGAACAACAUAUGGAGCAGGUCCCUGUAACUCCGCAACUUUCGACGGAGAACAGUGUUCACGACAACCGACCUUCAUUGUUGAGGCGUAGGUCGCAGUUGAUACUACAAAAUUUUAUAAAUCAACAUUUUUGAAUGAUACUGUUCCUGGCAUCUUAAUGAAAAUAAAAAGAAUAUUUGAUUGAAA